AAUCAAGUGCCUUAAGGGUGUUCGGUGGAUGCCUUGGCGCUGAGAGGCGAUGAAGGACGUGCUACGCUGCGAUAAGCCGUGGGGAGCUGCGAAGAAGCUUUGAUCCGCGGAUUUCCGAAUGGGGAAACCCACCUUCGAUAGCCGGAACUCCAAGACCUUGGU
Molecule: non-coding RNA, 162 nt
Filed under: Bradyrhizobium sp. STM 3843
Lineage: Bacteria; Pseudomonadati; Pseudomonadota; Alphaproteobacteria; Hyphomicrobiales; Nitrobacteraceae
Description: Bacterial large subunit ribosomal RNA
Rfam family: Bacterial large subunit ribosomal RNA
Source: Rfam by way of RNAcentral